GAUUUUGUUCCAUUAGAUCAUUAGCCCGGAAAAACUUUGGAAAGGAUAUCUUUCAGGUUAACUAUUGUCUAGCUGUACGCGUGUUUUCAGAAUUAAGUCAUCUCUGUAAGACGUUGAAGCAAUUUUUGGCGCAAAGCCCAAAAGAGUUAUUCAGAUGUUUUUGAAUUUUUUGAACCAGUUGAGCAACUAUUUGAGCCUUCAAGGAAGUUGGAAGAUGAACAGAUUCUUAGAGUUUGCAAAUGGAGUUCUGGAUAGGCAUAGGAGUUGUCUUUUGCAGCCAGCAUAUCAUUAUCCUAGCAAUUACCUUAUUUGUAUUACACUGCUUUCUUUAUAACAACUUGGUAGAAGUAGGUUAUUUAAAAGGAUCCAUUGUUAUCAGAAACUGUUUCUUUCCCAUUUGCAGGCUAUAACAAAGCGUAGUAGCUUUUAUUCAUGAGAUAAGGUUUCUGUGGACUAAUUCUAAAAUGUGCUUUAUCAGUAACAGAGUGUUAACCCAAGUCCUUAUUUGGUACUCUUGUCCUCUUUGCAGUGUUUAACAUUGUUUGCUGUUUGAAUAAUGCUUCAAGAGGAGUAUACUGUAUUUGCUUUUGCCAAUCAAUGCAAAAUCAAAUAAGAGCCUUUUAAUCAAAUCCUGCCUUCUGCUGAGCGAAGCAGAUCAUAUUAAAGUCAGUAUGGAUGAGCAGUCAUUUAUCCCUGGACAGAGUUUGGCCCUUUGUGAAAUGCCAUUUGGAAUUAAUAUUCAAAUCUCUUAAACUGUGAGGAGCGAAGCUUUAGGAUUCCAAAAAUUCUUCAUGUGCCAGGCAACCAAUGAUGAACGUAAAAUAAUUUUGCAAGGAUCCAAGUAAAACUAUUGCCCAAGAGAAAAUUAACCAAGUGCCUGAGACUCAGGAAGAUGUGACUAAAAACACUGAUUGCUUGCCCAUCCCGCUUAGGGAAAUUUCUAAAUGUCAUAUAAUUCUAAAUGUAAUUUUGAAUGGGUAAGCACAAAGCACUGCAGGAUAUAACCCCUGAGAGGGAUGCACAUGGGCACAGAGAGAUCGGAUUUGUGUUGUUGAUUUUUGGUUUAUGUGGUCUUAAUUGCUCCUUCAUGCUGGGGUCAUUACCUGAGCUGACUUUCGAGAGAACUUGCUUACUGGAUACUGGCGGCAAGAACAAAACAUGGUUUCGGUCACUGAAGCCAAAUGGGAGUAAACAAUCCUUCAUUUUCGGUGUUUAUUCUCAUGUGGAAAUCACUGGUGAGAGAGCAGCAUACAUGAGUGACCAACAGGCAAUCAAAAUCCAGCUUCCUGAAACUCUCUGCUAAACUUGCUCAGAGAUGUGGAGCAGAUCAACUCUAUGAGAGCUCAUUGUAGUGCAGAGAAGUCUGGAAACUCGCUAUGCCUGGUAUUACCUGUCAGAUACUGGGUUUGAGUUAGAGCAAGUGUUUAACUGUUUAAUUAAAGAUGUUUAAUUUUGCACUGAAUCACGCUUUCAAUAAUUUUUCUCUACCGCUAAAAGGGCAAGAACCCUCUAACUAAAACUUUGAGUUGUGAUUAAUCAAAGAAAUUUAAGUAAUUAGUCUUUAAAAAAUGCCCUGUUUUGUAAAACUCCUUAAAAAUCAUAAGAAUUGGCAACAAUUGAUGUGAUGUCUAACUAUCGUCCGCACAGAGUGAAUUGGAGUCGUUCUGCCACCAGCUACAGCAAAGCAAUCUCAUGCAGUAGUGUGGUUAAUACCUCUGUAAUUUGUCUGCAAAAAGCUCUUUUUCCAAAAACUCCUACUUCCUUAUACGCAUGAGGCAUCUGUGCUAACU
This 1790-nucleotide long non-coding RNA is filed under the name Apteryx rowi (Okarito brown kiwi). RNAcentral describes it as "lncRNA (ENSARWG00000010545.1)". Lineage: Eukaryota; Metazoa; Chordata; Aves; Apterygiformes; Apterygidae. The record is from RNAcentral.